GUGGGGAAUAUUGGACAAUGGGCGAAAGCCUGAUCCAGCCAUGCCGCGUGUGUGAAGAAGGUCUUCGGAUUGUAAAGCACUUUAAGUUGGGAGGAAGGGUAGUAACCUAAUACGUUGCUACUUUGACGUUACCGACAGAAUAAGCACCGGCUAACUUCGUGCCAGCAGCCGCGGUAAUACGAAGGGUGCAAGCGUUAAUCGGAAUUACUGGGCGUAAAGCGCGCGUAGGUGGUUCAGUAAGUUGGAAGUGAAAUCCCCGGGCUCAACCUGGGAACUGCUUUCAAAACUGCUGAGCUAGAGUACGGUAGAGGGUGGUGGAAUUUCCUGUGUAGCGGUGAAAUGCGUAGAUAUAGGAAGGAACACCAGUGGCGAAGGCGACCACCUGGACUGAUACUGACACUGAGGUGCGAAAGCGUUGGGAGCAAACAGGAUUAGAUACCCUUGUAGUCC
RNAcentral lists this ribosomal RNA (450 nucleotides) under uncultured bacterium. RNAcentral's name for it is "partial 16S ribosomal RNA". It matches the Rfam family "Bacterial small subunit ribosomal RNA", at positions 354 to 796 of the family's 1533-position model. The record is from RNAcentral.